RNAcentral lists this ribosomal RNA (433 nucleotides) under uncultured bacterium. Its description in RNAcentral is "partial 16S ribosomal RNA". It matches the Rfam family "Bacterial small subunit ribosomal RNA", at positions 29 to 507 of the family's 1533-position model. The record is from RNAcentral.
AACGAACGCUGGCGGCAUGCCUAACACAUGCAAGUCGAACGAGACCUUCGGGUCUAGUGGCGCACGGGUGCGUAACGCGUGGGAACCUGCCCUUAGGUUCGGAAUAACUCCCCGAAAGGGGUGCUAAUACCGGAUAAUGUCUUCGGACCAAAGAUUUAUCGCCUUUGGAUGGGCCCGCGUUGGAUUAGCUAGUUGGUAGGGUAAAAGCCUACCAAGGCGACGAUCCAUAGCUGGUCUGAGAGGAUGAUCAGCCACACUGGGACUGAGACACGGCCCAGACUCCUACGGGAGGCAGCAGUGGGGAAUAUUGGACAAUGGGCGAAAGCCUGAUCCAGCAAUGCCGCGUGAGUGAUGAAGGCCUUAGGGUUGUAAAGCUUUUUUGCCCGGGAUGAUAAUGACAGUACCGGGAGAAUAAGCUCCGGCUAACUCCGUG